Pseudonaja textilis is the source of this 265-nucleotide non-coding RNA. Lineage: Eukaryota; Metazoa; Chordata; Lepidosauria; Squamata; Elapidae. The record is from RefSeq and is a predicted model, not a curated record.
AAGGAAAAGGACAAGGAAAAGGACAAGGAAAAGAUGUUGAGGAUGAACCAAUGCAACAGGAUGACCAAGAGUAAGCACUACUGGUGCUGCCAAUGUCGCAAGGAAGGCCAAGCUGUUGACCAAGCUCCUCCUUUCCUCCUAAUUAGAAGCGAUCAUUCACUGGAUGAAUUGUACCAAAAAGCAGGGCUGGUGGUGGGACUAGUGACUUUAUUUCUGUCUACUGGGUUUAGGGAGCUUUCAAUGACAAUAAAGUAAGUGUAUCAUC